GAAAGGUGAAAAGUACCCCGGAAGGGGAGUGAAAGAGAACUUGAAACCGUGUGCUUACAAGUAGUCAGAGCCCGUUAAUGGGUGAUGGCGUGCCUUUUGUAGAAUGAACCGGCGAGUUACGAUCUGAUGCAAGGUUAAGCAGCAAAUGUGGAGCCGCAGCGAAAGCGAGUCUGAAUAGGGCGUUGAGUAUUUGGUCGUAGACCCGAAACCAGGUGAUCUACCCUUGGUCAGGUUGAAGUUCAGGUAACACUGAAUGGAGGACCGAACCGACUUACGUUGAAAAGUGAGCGGAUGAACUGAGGGUAGCGGAGAAAUUCCAAUCGAACUUGGAGAUAGCUGGUUCUCUCCGAAAUAGCUUUAGGGCUAGCCUCAAGUGAUGAUUAUUGGAGGUAGAGCACUGUUUGGACGAGGGGCCCCUCUCGGGUUACCGAAUUCAGACAAACUCCGAAUGCCAAUUAAUUUAACUUGGGAGUCAGAACAUGGGUGAUAAGGUCCGUGUUCGAAAGGGAAACAGCCCAGACCACCAGCUAAGGUCCCAAAAUAUAUGUUAAGUGGAAAAGGAUGUGGCGUUGCCCAGACAACUAGGAUGUUGGCUUAGAAGCAGCCAUCAUUUAAAGAGUGCGUAAUAGCUCACUAGUCGAGUGACACUGCGCCGAAAAUGUACCGGGGCUAAACAUAUUACCGAAGCUGUGGAUUGUCCUUUGGACAAUGGUAGGAGAGCGUUCUAAGGGCGUCGAAGCAUGAUCGCAAGGACAUGUGGAGCGCUUAGAAGUGAGAAUGCCGGUGUGAGUAGCGAAAGACGGGUGAGAAUCCCGUCCACCGAUUGACUAAGGUUUCCAGAGGAAGGCUCGUCCGCUCUGGGUUAGUCGGGUCCUAAGCUGAGGCCGACAGGCGUAGGCGAUGGAUAACAGGUUGAUAUUCCUGUACCACCUAGUAUCGUUUUAAUCGAUGGGGGGACGCAGUAGGAUAGGCGAAGCGUGCUGUUGGAGUGCACGUCCAAGCAGUAAGGCUGAGUGUUAGGCAAAUCCGGCACUCAUAAGGCUGAGCUGUGAUGGGGAGAGGAAAUUGUUUCCUCGAGUCGUUGAUUUCACACUGCCGAGAAAAGCCUCUAGAUAGAUAACAGGUGCCCGUACCGCAAACCGACACAGGUAGUCAAGAUGAGAAUUCUAAGGUGAGCGAGCGAACUCUCGUUAAGGAACUCGGCAAAAUGACCCCGUAACUUCGGGAGAAGGGGUGCUCUUUAGGGUUCACGCCCAGAAGAGCCGCAGUGAAUAGGCCCAAGCGACUGUUUAUCAAAAACACAGGUCUCUGCUAAACCGUAAGGUGAUGUAUAGGGGCUGACGCCUGCCCGGUGCUGGAAGGUUAAGAGGAGUGGUUAGCUUCUGCGAAGCUACGAAUCGAAGCCCCAGUAAACGGCGGCCGUAACUAUAACGGUCCUAAGGUAGCGAAAUUCCUUGUCGGGUAAGUUCCGACCCGCACGAAAGGCGUAACGAUUUGGGCACUGUCUCAACGAGAGACUCGGUGAAAUCAUAGUACCUGUGAAGAUGCAGGUUACCCGCGACAGGACGGAAAGACCCCGUGGAGCUUUACUGUAGCCUGAUAUUGAAAUUCGGCACAGCUUGUACAGGAUAGGUAGGAGCCUUUGAAACGUGAGCGCUAGCUUACGUGGAGGCGUUGGUGGGAUACUACCCUAGCUGUGUUGGCUUUCUAACCCGCACCACUUAUCGUGGUGGGAGACAGUGUCAGGCGGGCAGUUUGACUGGGGCGGUCGCCUCCUAAAAGGUAACGGAGGCGCUCAAAGGUUCCCUCAGAAUGG
Molecule: ribosomal RNA, 1816 nt
Filed under: Staphylococcus epidermidis APO27
Lineage: Bacteria; Bacillati; Bacillota; Bacilli; Caryophanales; Staphylococcaceae
Description: bacterial LSU rRNA
Rfam family: Bacterial large subunit ribosomal RNA
Source: RNAcentral